This is a long non-coding RNA of Chlorocebus sabaeus (green monkey), 603 nucleotides long. RefSeq lists it as uncharacterized. Lineage: Eukaryota; Metazoa; Chordata; Mammalia; Primates; Cercopithecidae. The record is from RefSeq and is a predicted model, not a curated record.
GCCUGAGAAGACGCGAGGCUGUCGCUGCUGCAGUACUGGGCGGAGGGCCUGUCUGAGAGGGAGCCAACCUCGAGGAAACUGGGUCAACCAUGGACAAGGACACACCAGCUCUGUGACGUCACGCUGGAGGGCUGGGUGUGACAGGGCCCUUCAGAGAGCCUUGAGACAGAACCUCAGCAGACGGUGGCAGCUGAAGACCCAGGAAUCUCAUCAAAUAACCAGGAAAGAUUAACUACUGGAGAAGAGAAGAGACUGGAAUCAUCACCAUGCCAGACAGACUUUUCAUCUGUUCUGAGGACAGCUCCAAGAGAUUACCUGGGAGGCUUUAUCUGUGAAAAAGACAACCUUUGUUCACAGUGUGGUUCUGCCCCUCACCCUUCUGCCACCUGCCCCAGAACUCAGAGGAACUUUGUCCCAGACUAUUAUCUAUUCUUUGGGCUCACUCAUUUUCCUUAGAAAUCAUUUACUACCCCUUUAAAAUGUCCUACAGUCCGCCACUUCCCUGUCCCCUAUGUAGAGGGUAUAUAAGCCUCAACCAUCUGGCCCUUCUUUGAGUCUCCAAUUUGUAGGGCUUCCAUGGCCAUAUGCACCGUAAUAAAUGUG